Molecule: ribosomal RNA, 750 nt
Filed under: uncultured bacterium
Lineage: Bacteria
Description: bacterial SSU rRNA
Rfam family: Bacterial small subunit ribosomal RNA
Source: RNAcentral
UAGUGGCGAACGGGUGAGUAACGCGUAAGCAACCUGCCCCUAAGUAGGGGAUAACUUUGAGAAAUUGGAGCUAAUACCUUAUGUGGUGAUGGGGGUAAUGCUUCAUCAUUAAAGCCUUAGGGUGCCUAGGGAGGGGCUUGCGUCCGAUUAGCUAGUUGGUAGGGUAACGGUUUACCAAGGCGAUGAUCGGUAGCUGGUUUGAGAGGACGGUCAGCCACACUGGGACUGAGAUACGGCCCAGACUCCUACGGGAGGCAGCAGCAAGGGAUAUUGUGCAAUGGGCGAAAGCCUGACACAGCGACGCCGCGUGGGGGAUGAAGGCCUUCGGGUUGUAAACCCCUUUUCUCAGGGAAGAAUAAUGACGGUACCUGAGGAAUAAGUCUUGGCUAACUACGUGCCAGCAGCCGCGGUAAUACGUAGGAGGCGAGCGUUAUCCGGAUUUACUGGGCGUAAAGAGGGCGUAGGCGGUUCUUCAAGUCGGAUGUAAAAUCUCCCGGCUCAACUGGGAGGGAUCAUUCGAUACUGCUGGGCUGGAGGGUAGCAGAGGGAGGUGGAAUUCCCGGUGUAGUGGUGAAAUGCGUAGAUAUCGGGAGGAACACCAGUGGCGAAGGCGGCCUCCUGGGCUAUUUCUGACGCUGAGGCCCAAAAGCGUGGGGAGCGAACAGGAUUAGAUACCCUGGUAGUCCACGCUGUAAACUAUGGACACUAGGUAUGGGGAGUAUCGACCCUCUCCGUGCCGAAGCUAACGCU